AAACUGGUUUAACCAGAAAGAAAAAAACAAUGGGUCCGCUUUGCGAGUAAUCGCAUUGAAAAAACUGGAUGAAUUGCUGGAACUCUUUGACAGACGAUCAGCAGCCAAGCUCACAGAGUGAGAAGGUUCAGAGACUACCUGAGCUUAUGCGAAUAGGCUUAAUAACAGGAAUUAGCAGAGUAUUAAUAGCUUUGUGAAACAGCGUCCAGCCCCUUUUUAAAGGGUGAUGAUAUAGUCCAAUAAACGUCAAAAUCCGUUG
RNAcentral lists this non-coding RNA (259 nucleotides) under Vibrio chagasii. RNAcentral's name for it is "Intron_gpI". It matches the Rfam family "Group I catalytic intron". Rfam says of the family: Group I catalytic introns are large self-splicing ribozymes. They catalyse their own excision from mRNA, tRNA and rRNA precursors in a wide range of organisms. The core secondary structure consists of 9 paired regions (P1-P9). Lineage: Bacteria; Pseudomonadati; Pseudomonadota; Gammaproteobacteria; Vibrionales; Vibrionaceae. The record is from RNAcentral.